Non-coding RNA from Ictidomys tridecemlineatus (thirteen-lined ground squirrel), 69 nucleotides. The record is from Rfam. NCBI's taxonomy places the organism in Eukaryota, Metazoa, Chordata, Mammalia, Rodentia, Sciuridae.
GGGGUUGUGGCUCAGCAGUAGAGCACUCGCCUAGAACGUGAGAGGCCCUGGGUUCGAUCCUCAGCACCA